RNAcentral lists this ribosomal RNA (253 nucleotides) under uncultured bacterium. Its description in RNAcentral is "partial 16S ribosomal RNA". It matches the Rfam family "Bacterial small subunit ribosomal RNA", at positions 524 to 776 of the family's 1533-position model. The record is from RNAcentral.
UACAGAGGGUGCGAGCGUUGUCCGGAAUCACUGGGCGUAAAGGGCGCGUAGGUGGCUGGGUAAGUGUGCGGUGAAAGUCCGGGGCUCAACCCCGGAUCGGCCGUGCAGACUGCUUGGCUUGAGCAUAGUAGAGGCAGGUGGAAUUCCGGGUGUAGCGGUGGAAUGCGUAGAGAUCCGGAAGAACACCGGUGGCGAAGGCGGCGACCUGGUCCAUUACUGACGCUGAGGCGCGACAGCGUGGGGAGCAAACAGG